AUACGUAGGGGGCAAGCGUUAUCCGGGUUUACUGGGUGUAAAGGGAGCGUAGACGGUGUGACAAGUCUGAUGUGAAAACCCGGGGCUCAACUCCGGGAUUGCAUUGGAAACUGCCAUACUUGAGUGCAGGAGGGGUAAGCGGAAUUCCUAGUGGAGCGGUGAAAUGCGUGAAUAUUAGGAGGAACACCGGCGGCGAAGGCGGCUUACUGGACUGUAACUGACGUUGAGGCUCGAAAGCGUGGGGAGCAAACAGGAUUAGAUCCCCUGGUAGUCCACGCGGUAAACGAUGAAUACAAGGUGUUGGGGGUCUAUAGACACUCGGUGCCGCAGCAAACGCAAUAAGUAUUCCACCUGGGGAGUACGUUCGCAAGAAUGAAACUCAAAGGAAUUGACGGGG
Molecule: ribosomal RNA, 397 nt
Filed under: uncultured bacterium
Lineage: Bacteria
Description: partial 16S ribosomal RNA
Rfam family: Bacterial small subunit ribosomal RNA
Source: RNAcentral